Molecule: ribosomal RNA, 216 nt
Filed under: Campeiostachys nutans
Lineage: Eukaryota; Viridiplantae; Streptophyta; Magnoliopsida; Poales; Poaceae
Description: Elymus nutans partial small subunit ribosomal RNA
Rfam family: Eukaryotic small subunit ribosomal RNA (bases 40-216)
Source: RNAcentral
GGGGUGGUAGGUUGGUCAUGCCCCUGGUAUGUACUGGUCUCACUGAUUCCUCCUUCCUGAUGAACCUUAAUGCCAUUAAUUUGGUGUUUUGGGGAAUUUGGGCUGUUACUUUGAAAAAAUUAGAGUGUUUAAAGCAAGCUAACGCUUGAAUACAUUAGCAUGGAAUAAUGAAAUAGGACGUUCGAUCCUAUUUUGUUGGUUUCUAGGAUGGACGUA